UUUCUUUUUUUCACCCCCUGGAAGUUGUUGAAAGCAGUUUGAACCAGUGCUAGAGUAGAAAUCUGACUUCUGCAAAACAGCAAGUGGAAGGAGUGUUUAUGGGCUGGAUGGAAUUAGUUUAAUUAUUCAGAUUUCAGAUAGCCUCAGCUUCUGCAGACUCCAGAUGGAGUCUGAAAUGGCUGGUUCUAAAAGUAGAAUAACAAAAUGAAGAUUGACAAAUCCAAGACCUAGCUACCAACAGGAGGAAAAAAGAAGCUUUAUUUUGUUUGUGAACACAACUAACCCUUGUCUAAAGGUGAUGCCUACCUGCUUUAAGGUAGCCUGCAUUUGGGAAGCCAGUUACAAACCCACAGUUGUUUUGAGAAGGGGGCAGGUGAUUGCUUUUAAUAUCCUUCUGGGAAAGCAUAAUAGGUUAAAGUAAAAUGCUACUUAGAGAAACUCGAGAUGGUUUGUUGUAUUACCCUUCUCUGCAAAAUAUAAAUCUGACAUCGUAGGGGGGAGAAAUAAACUGCUCGGGGGUGAAAAAUGCGCUAGAACAUUAGGAACCAAACUGCCUGUAGCAGUGCAUGACUGAGGGGAAUACUUUAAAACAAAAAGUUGUAUUUGUAGAUUGUUAUUAAAAUGUAAAUAACAAUUUUCAACAAUGGUUUGGAGUCAGCUUUCAGGGCAUAAUGUCUUGCUUGAUGAAAAGAUCACCCUAUACCCCCCUUUUAAAGGAAAAUUAUCGCAGGAGAAUAAGGAUGUGUAAAGCUAACAUGCAUCGCAAAAAACAAAAGGUAACCUAAAUGUCUGCUUUUAAUAGCACAUUUCUCUUUUACAUAAACUGUGACGGCAACUUGCAUAAACUUUAUUGAAACAAUUCUUCAAAUGUUAAUGUAAAAUUUGAAAAAAAAAUGUUUAAAAGUAGAUGUUUUUAAAAAAAGACCACAUGCUUUUGCAUAAAUUAGCAAUAAUUUCAAUAAUCGUGCACUUUGUAAAUGCACUGUAAUGUAACCUGGGCAAAAAAAGGAAUCUGAAAGCUUAAAUUUCAAAAAUGUAAAAUGACACCGAAUAUAGAUAGUCCUGCUACUGCCAAAAAAAAUUCUGCUCAGUUAUUUAAAAUGUAAAAUGAUGACCCUUAUAGACCCCAACAUUGAUAUUCACUAUGAAAUGUUCAGAGCUCAGCUUAAGUUGCAUGUUUUCCUUCCUGUGUAAUUUGCAUGCAGGAUCUUUUUUUCUUUAAAUCUCUGUUUUUUCCAUUAAGGAAACUCACAAUCUCUUCUCAAUUUGCAGGAGUGAAGAAGGUUGCUGCAAAUCAUCUGGGUGAAGAUGUUUUUGUGAAACAAACUCUGGAACAAGCAACCAAGCUGGGAACUUGAAUAAGGUAACUGGAGUGGACAUAGCUUAGGUUAACCUUACUCUUCUCAUUCUGGUGGAAUACCAGAGUCAACUGGAGAGCACUCUGCAGUUGAUUUAGCUGGUCUUCACUAGACCCACUAAAUUGACCCCUGCUACAUCAAUAGUAGCAGCCUGGCACAACCUUUAUAUCCUAUGGAAAAGAUGUGAUAACGAUCAUCCAUUAUGGUGCAGAUUUUUAUCCAGUGGAAGUGAAUCUUGUGGCACUGCCAUUUGGAAUGUAUACAGCUUGCCUCUGCAUGCAUAUGUUGGGUGUUUAUAUAAAAGAUGCUAGUGUUCUGGAGGAAUGUAAAUCUUAUUGUAAAUAAUUGUAUUUGCCAAAACUGGUCUGAGAACAUGCUGCUUGAAGCAUUUUCCUCUAUUCAUCUUAUAGUGUUGGAAUAAUCUGAUCUUUUUUGGUCUAGUGUAUGUACUGAUUGUAGAAUUAUUAACAUGAAAAUCUGAAAGAUGUUUUGACAAAUUAUGGGCUUGACUUGGGACUGGGUCAAAUUUUCUGGCUUGUGUUAUGCCAGAGGUCAGACUAAAUGAUCAUAAUGGUUUCUUCUGGUCUUUAUCUUUUGAAUCUAUUAAAAGUAAAUUUUCCCUUUA
This is a long non-coding RNA of Gopherus flavomarginatus (Mexican gopher tortoise), 1983 nucleotides long. RefSeq lists it as uncharacterized. NCBI's taxonomy places the organism in Eukaryota, Metazoa, Chordata, Testudines, Testudinidae. The record is from RefSeq and is a predicted model, not a curated record. The transcript is spliced from 3 exons.